AAUUUUAUUUUAUUUGUAUUUAAUACAUAGUAAUUAUUAAUGUUUCAUUUAUAAAUGGUGGUUGAGUGAUUUGAAAGGAAAAAUUUAUUAGUUCACACACCCAUUUGUUUUAAAUAGAGCACUUCUCCUUCAUUUCUAAACGCACAACCUCCUUUGUUUGUAUCUAAAAUUUACUUUCUUUGAGGUCGAGGUCAUAACAUUCUCCCAUAUUUUUGAGUGGUUUGUCUUAGCCUUGCCUUGCAUAGACACACACCAUUACGGUUUUGUAAAGCUCUUUCAUCCCUUCCGCAACAUUCUUACCUUCUGGUGAGUGUUCAGCAGCAUUCUUCCCUUCCGGGUUUUAGAAAAAUCAUUCUUCAGCAGACAUUCAAGGUUCUGGCAACUUCAUUGCAAAACUAUGUUUUGAAGCAUUCUACAGUUCUGGAGGAAAUAAGAAAUGAAGAACAAAUGGAAUACCAAGCACUACAAACAAUUUAUCCAGAAGAUGAUGAAGAAGACUUAAGAAGACCGACAGGUAUACGGAUUAUCGUGUUCCAUGAUCAAAAGUUUAUGAAAACGGAUGUGGUUUUUGAAACUCCAAAUGCCAAAAUGCCAAAAAAGAACAAACGAAAAAAAAUAAUGAAGGAGGAACAUCGUAUGAUGUAUCACUAAACUUCACAUCGGAGUGAUGAUGAGGACAAUGUACCAAUAGUGUAAAGGAAAUGGUUUGAAAGUGUGUUCAAUGGGAAAGGGAAGGAAACACAAACUGAAAAUAAGCAUAUAUAUGAAAUGUAGGUAUGUAAAUAACUAUCGUUAGAUUACUAUAAGGUUUUUAUUCUUCAUAUGAAAUUUAGGUAUCUAAGAAGAGAAAAGUUAGAGAAAGAUGUGAAAGCAAGGGAAUAGAAUAAGAUCAAAAAAUGUGAUAAGAAAAAAGAGGUCAAAAAAAUACAAAUGUGAAGAAAUGAUCAACAAAAUCAAAUCCAGAGGUAUAUAAAAUAUAUGUAUAUAAUAUUGCAGUUGAUAAAAAUGCAUUUAGUUAUCACUAACAAAUGAUGUUACUAAUAUUGAUUAAGAAAUCGACUGAGGAUAAAAGAAGGGAAAAAAACAGCAGACGUAGAGGAAGAUUAUGAGGCUAGAGGUAGAGAUAUUGCUUAUCAACAAGCAGCGAGGAAGAGCAUAAAGAGAGAAAAUUUACCUUCUAAGAUAUUGAGAUUGCAAUUCACAACGAAAGUUGGUUCGAUAGAGCCAAAUAAGGAAAAAAAUAGAGUUGAAUGUUCAAGGAUUUGAAGUGCCAAGUUUUAAAUUGCUCUCCCGAGGACUUUAGAACAUUGUGUUAUUUGAAUCUGAUUAUGUUAUUUUGAUUUGAAUGAACAACUUUGUAAUUUAGAAUGUAGUAAUUUGAAUUAUGUUGUUUGCUUUGUAAUUUCGACUGUAGUAAUUAGGAUUAUUAUGUUAUUUGGA
Long non-coding RNA from Cucumis melo (muskmelon), 1440 nucleotides. RefSeq lists it as uncharacterized. The record is from RefSeq and is a predicted model, not a curated record. Lineage: Eukaryota; Viridiplantae; Streptophyta; Magnoliopsida; Cucurbitales; Cucurbitaceae. The transcript has 8 exons.